UUCAGGCCUAACACAUGCAAGUCGAACGGUAACAGCACUUCGGUGGCUGACGAGUGGCGCACGGGUGCGUAACGCGUAUGCAAUCUGCCUUGUACUGGGGUAUAGCCUUUAGAAAUGAAGAUUAACCCCCCAUGGUAUCAUAUAAUCGCAUGGUUUUAUGAUUAAAGGUUACGGUACAAGAUGAGCAUGCGUCCUAUUAGCUAGAUGGUGCGGUAACGGCGCACCAUGGCGACGAUAGGUAGGGGCCCUGAGAGAGGGAUCCCCCACACUGGUACUGAGACACGGACCAGACUCCUACGGGAGGCAGCAGUGAGGAAUAUUGGACAAUGGGCGGAAGCCUGAUCCAGCCAUGCCGCGUGCAGGAAGACUGCCCUAUGGGUUGUAAACUGCUUUUAUACGGGAAGAAACACCCCCACGUGUGGGGAUUUGACGGUACCGUAAGAAUAAGGAUCGGCUAACUCCGUGCCAGCAGCCGCGGUAAUACGGAGGAUCCGAGCGUUAUCCGGAAUCAUUGGGUUUAAAGGGUCCGUAGGUGGAAGAUUAAGUCAGAGGUGAAAUCCUGCAGCUCAACUGUAGAAUUGCCUUUGAUACUGGUUUUCUUGAAUCGUUGUGAAGUGGUUAGAAUAUGUAGUGUAGCGGUGAAAUGCAUAGAUAUUACAUAGAAUACCGAUUGCGAAGGCAGAUCACUAACAACGUAUUGAC
RNAcentral lists this ribosomal RNA (702 nucleotides) under uncultured bacterium. Its description in RNAcentral is "bacterial SSU rRNA". It matches the Rfam family "Bacterial small subunit ribosomal RNA", at positions 41 to 744 of the family's 1533-position model. The record is from RNAcentral.